Molecule: microRNA precursor, 63 nt
Filed under: Pristionchus pacificus
Lineage: Eukaryota; Metazoa; Nematoda; Chromadorea; Rhabditida; Neodiplogasteridae
Description: mir-8364 microRNA precursor family
Rfam family: mir-8364 microRNA precursor family
Source: Rfam by way of RNAcentral
UCUUCAUUUCACGUGCUCUCUCACCGGUCAGAGAGACAAGAGAGAGUGUGUGAAAUGAAGAGA